Molecule: ribosomal RNA, 460 nt
Filed under: uncultured bacterium
Lineage: Bacteria
Description: partial 16S ribosomal RNA
Rfam family: Bacterial small subunit ribosomal RNA
Source: RNAcentral
CCUACGGGUGGCAGCAGUGAGGAAUAUUGGACAAUGGACGAGAGUCUGAACCAGCCAAGUCGCGUGAAGGAUGAAUGCCCUCUGGGUUGUACACUUCUUUUAUAAAGGAAUAAAACGAGGCACGUGUGCCUUUUUGCAUGUACUUUAUGAAUAAGGAUCGGCUCACUCCGUGCCAGCAGCCGCGGUAAUACGGAGGAUCCGAGCGUUAUCCGGAUUUAUUGGGUUUAAAGGGAGCGUAGAUGGGUUGUUAAGUCAGUUGUGAAAGUUUGCGGCUCAACCGUAAAAUUGCAAGUGAUACUGGCAGUCGUGAGUACAGUAGAGGUAGGCGGAAUUCGGGGUGUAGCGGUGAAAUGCGUAGAUAUCACGAAGAACCCCGAUUGCGAAGGCAGCUUACUAAACUGUGACUGACAUUGAGGCGCGAAAGUGUGGGUAUCAAACAGGAUUAGAUACCCUAGUAGUC